GACGUACCACCCGAACGUUAUCCGGAUUCACUGGGCUUACAGAGUCCGUAGGCGGUCAAGAAAGUUAGGCGUGAAAUCCCUCAGCUCAACUGAGGAAUAGCGCUUAAAACUACUUGGCUAGAGAGAGUCAGAGGUGAGCGGAACUGAUGGUGGAGCGGUGAAAUGCGUUGAUAUCAUCAGGAACACCGGUGGCGAAAGCGGCUCACUGGGGCUUUUCUGACGCUGAGGGACGAAAGCUAGGGGAGCGAACGGG
RNAcentral lists this ribosomal RNA (253 nucleotides) under uncultured bacterium. RNAcentral describes it as "partial 16S ribosomal RNA". It matches the Rfam family "Bacterial small subunit ribosomal RNA", at positions 524 to 776 of the family's 1533-position model. The record is from RNAcentral.